RNAcentral lists this ribosomal RNA (507 nucleotides) under Salmonella enterica subsp. enterica serovar Heidelberg. RNAcentral's name for it is "partial 23S ribosomal RNA". It matches the Rfam family "Bacterial large subunit ribosomal RNA", at positions 13 to 559 of the family's 2925-position model. The record is from RNAcentral. Lineage: Bacteria; Pseudomonadati; Pseudomonadota; Gammaproteobacteria; Enterobacterales; Enterobacteriaceae.
AAGCGUACACGGUGGAUGCCCUGGCAGUCAGAGGCGAUGAAGGACGUGCUAAUCUGCGAUAAGCGCCGGUAAGGUGAUAUGAACCGUUAUAACCGGCGAUUUCCGAAUGGGGAAACCCAGUGUGACUCGUCACACUAUCAUUAACUGAAUCCAUAGGUUAAUGAGGCGAACCGGGGGAACUGAAACAUCUAAGUACCCCGAGGAAAAGAAAUCAACCGAGAUUCCCCCAGUAGCGGCGAGCGAACGGGGAGGAGCCCAGAGCCUGAAUCAGCAUGUGUGUUAGUGGAAGCGUCUGGAAAGGCGCGCGAUACAGGGUGACAGCCCCGUACACAAAAGCGCAUGUGCUGUGAGCUCGAUGAGUAGGGCGGGACACGUGGUAUCCUGUCUGAAUAUGGGGGGACCAUCCUCCAAGGCUAAAUACUCCUGACUGACCGAUAGUGAACCAGUACCGUGAGGGAAAGGCGAAAAGAACCCCGGCGAGGGGAGUGAAAAAGAACCUGAAACCGU